Molecule: unclassified non-coding RNA, 346 nt
Filed under: soil metagenome
Description: partial contains 5.8S ribosomal RNA, internal transcribed spacer 2, and large subunit ribosomal RNA
Rfam family: 5.8S ribosomal RNA (bases 1-120)
Source: RNAcentral
GAUGAAGAACGCAGCGAAAUGCGAUAAGUAAUGUGAAUUGCAGAAUUCAGUGAAUCAUCGAAUCUUUGAACGCACAUUGCGCCCGCCAGCACUCUGGCGGGCAUGCCUAUUCGAGCGUCAUUUCAACCAUCAGGCCCCCCCCGGGGGGCCUGUGCUGGGGCCCUGCGGCUGCCCGCAGGCCCUGAAAACCAGUGGCGGGCUCGCUAGUCACACCGAGCGCAGUAGCACAUCUCGCUCAGGGCGUGCGGCGGGCUCCUGCCGUGAAACCCCCCCACUGUAACCCAAAGGUUGACCUCGGAUCAGGUAGGAAUACCCGCUGAACUUAAGCAUAUCAAUAAGCGGAGGA